Molecule: long non-coding RNA, 554 nt
Filed under: Neodiprion lecontei (redheaded pine sawfly)
Lineage: Eukaryota; Metazoa; Arthropoda; Insecta; Hymenoptera; Diprionidae
Description: uncharacterized LOC124294972
Source: RNAcentral
GCUCCGGGUCCGCUUCCUGGUACAACUCGACAUCCAGGAAAAGCGCUCCGUAGUUUCUGCGCUCAAGGUCCACUACCAGCAGGAACUUGACUUCCAGGACAAGUGCUCCGUAGUUCUGGCUGUCCAGGCCCACUACCUGCAGGAACUAGACUUGCAGGUCAAGCGCUCCGUGUGUCCUGCGCUUCAGGACGAACGCUGCGUGGUUCCUGCGCUCCAGGUUCACUACCUGGUGAAACUCGACUUCCAGGACGAACGCUCCGUGGUUUCUGCGCACCAGGUCCGCUACCUGGUAAAACUCAACUUCCAGGACAAGCGCUCCGUAGCUUCUGCGCUCCAAGUCCACUACCUAAUGAAACUCGACUUCAGGGACAUGUGGUGAAUAAGGAGGAAGAGGACGAGGAUUUCUGCUCAGUAUAACCCGAGGUGAUUGGAGGUGGUUGGAGGUGGUCGGAGGUGAACGAGGAGGAGGACGAGGAAGACAAGGAGAACGAGUUGGACGACAAGGACGAGGAUUUGUGCUCGGUACAACCCGAGGUGGUUAUCGGUGGUUGUUC